Molecule: long non-coding RNA, 320 nt
Organism: Halichondria panicea
Lineage: Eukaryota; Metazoa; Porifera; Demospongiae; Suberitida; Halichondriidae
Exons: 3
Source: RefSeq, a predicted model, not a curated record
CACACCCACCAAAGACAUUGAUUUUCACAUACCGCACAGCUAGCUAGUAUAAACUAGUACAUGCAGUACAGAGCUAGAGCUAGAGGCAAAACCUGGCUCCAUUGCUAAAGUAUUACAGCAUUCUCCGGCUGGAAAGAUGUUAGUUUGAGGCUGAGAAUGCUGCCCUGUCAGUAAUUAACCCGACGUAUUCAAGUUGAGGAAAAGAGUGAGACCAUUCAAUGUCUAGAGGAUGACCUGCUGAGGGAGCUGGAGGAGAAGCUGCUCGAGAGGUCUCAAAUCAUGGACCCAGGUGUCAUGGCUGAGCUGGUGAGAGAAUUGGA